This 641-nucleotide small RNA is filed under the name Pan troglodytes (chimpanzee). Its description in RNAcentral is "retained intron". Lineage: Eukaryota; Metazoa; Chordata; Mammalia; Primates; Hominidae. The record is from RNAcentral.
AGACAGAACUGGCCUCAAAUCCUGGCUGUCAUGUACUUGCUAUGGGCCUAGAGUAGCUUACCUAAAUGCUACUAACCUUCCUCCAUACCAUUAUUGUAAAGAUUAAAGGUGAUGCAUCUGUUAAGUAACUAAUAGAGUGCUUAUUAAAAGGUAGGUGUUCAAUACUUAUUAAUUCCCUCCCUUUUUCUUACUAGUCCACUUGUGUUUUUAAUGGAUCAUACUUUACCCUAGAUUGUACUGUAGGAGGCAUCGUGGAUGGAUGGCUGCUGGAAACCCCUUGCCAUAGCCAGCUCUUCUUCAAUACUUAAGGAUUUACCGUGGCUUUGAGUAAUGAGAAUUUCGAAACCACAUUUGAGAAGUAUUUCCAUCCAGUGCUACUUGUGUUUACUUCUAAACAGUCAUUUUCUAACUGAAGCUGGCAUUCAUGUCUUCAUUUUGGGGUAAUUUUAUCUUUAGGCAUAAAUAACAUUAUGUUCAUGGUCAUGAUGAUUGUCCUUGGAUAUCUUUUCCAUUAAAUUAGUUUACGUUCAGUUUGCUUAUAUCUCUAGGUACUCAGUAUCUGGGGGAUAGAAGGCAGACUAUAGGGAUUUAGAGAGGUUUGGUAAACACCUAACUGAGCAUUUUUCUACAUCGUGGUAAUA